GUGCCAGCAGCCGCGGUAAUACAUAGGUGGCAAGCGUUAUCCGGAUUUAUUGGGCGUAUAGGGUGCGUAGGCGGUUUUGCAAGUUUGUGGUCAAAUCCCGAGGCUCAACCUCGGUUCGCCAUGAAAACUGCAUCACUAGAAUACAAGAGAGGUAAACGGAAUUCCAUGUGUAGCGGUGAAAUGCGUAGAUAUAUGGAAGAACACCUGUGGCGAAAGCGGUUUACUGGCUUGUUAUUGACGCUGAGGCACGAAGCGUGGGAGC
RNAcentral lists this ribosomal RNA (262 nucleotides) under uncultured Entomoplasma sp. RNAcentral describes it as "partial 16S ribosomal RNA". It matches the Rfam family "Bacterial small subunit ribosomal RNA", at positions 505 to 769 of the family's 1533-position model. Lineage: Bacteria; Bacillati; Mycoplasmatota; Mollicutes; Entomoplasmatales; Entomoplasmataceae. The record is from RNAcentral.